GACCCACAAUUGCUCAUCUCAGAUGAGUGAUAAAUGAUGGGUGAUUUUUGAAACGCUAGAAUUUUCAAACAAAACAAACAUAUCCUAUCCUAUUAGUUAUGAGGCCAGCCUGUAACACGGUGAAGAAGGGAGAAAGGCAGGGUUGGGCUGCCCUGGGCCCGCACCCGUUCUGGAUGGAGAAGUGAUUGGGUCCCUAGCUUGGCGUCAUUACGUUGGAAGCAGCGGAGAGGGAAACCAACCCCAGGAACUUGACCUAAUGAACACGGGCCACAAAUUAACAAAGUUGGCUGGGAAAAACAUUGUGAGUUUUAGUCACUCGAGCAUCAGUAAAUCUGCUAGAAGUCAGGGCUGAUUGCUUAUAGCUUGUUACGAUGUUGAUUGUUUACAAAUUACAUUUUCCCUUUAAAAGGCAGGCACCUCUCAGCGGCUCCCUGCCACUAGUCCCUUGCUGAGUGCUUCCCACCAGGGACAAAGGCUGCCUGCUGUUCGCUGACCUAACAUGCAGCUCUGCACUCUGUGGCCCCCUUGCUUCACACGGCUCCUUCUCUCCCUUCUCCUAUAUUUUCAAAUCUUCCUUAAACCCAGUCCUCCUACGAGCGGGGUUGUCAGACAGGCACUGGACUGUGCACACACUUAUAUUUUCUCAUGAUUUGCAGCUACCUGGAGGAGUGAAGGCUGAGUGCAAAAUUGCCUCGUGAGAUCUGCUUUCCGGUUUAAAUCACUUACGGUUUAAAUUUAUUCAUUCAUUCAUUCGACCUGUAACUUGAAUGAAUGAAUGAACCAGCACUUGUCUGAUUGUCCCUGCCAGACAGCUGCUGGAGCUGCAGAGACAGAUUUCAGAGAGUCAGAGGAUCACAAGCGCAGGCUUGGCUUGCAGGCACAUCACUCCAAUCUCUGCCUUCAUCGUCACAUGGUGCUGUGGGCUGACUGUGUCCCAGUCCCCAGUUCAUAUGUUGAAGUCCUAAACCCUAAUACCUCAGAAUGUGACUGCAUUUGGAGAUAGGGCCUUUAAAGAGGUAAUUAGCUUAUAAUGGGGUUGUUAGGGUGAACCCUAAUCCCGUAUGACUGGCGUCCUUGUAGGAAGUGAUUAGGACACAGACAACAGACAGAAAGUGACCAUAGGAGGACACAGUGAGAAGCCAGCCAUCUGCAAGCCAAGGAGAGAGGCCUCGGGAGAAACCAAACUUGCCAACACCUUGAUUUGAGACUUCUAGCCCUCAGAACGGUACUUAUUUCAUCUACACUUGAAAAUGUGCUGCAACCUCCUUAUCAUUUUGAUGUCUAAUCUAAUUGGCCUCAUAUGGAGAAAAAUUCUGUCCCACAACCACACAAACCAAGCCCCAGCCAGCCUUCAGCCCGUGCCGUCUCUCAUCACCAGGAGGCCCAGGGGAGAACGCGGACAAGGUCUCAGCAAGUUCUCCCACUCCCCAAACCUGACUGUGAAAAGGAAAGCCUACGUUCUCCCCAGGACCUCCAGGGGCAAUCUAUUUAUAAGUUAAGGACUCUGCUUGCUAACAUUUACAGCCAUAAGCUGUCUCAUUUCCCCACCAGCCUUUUCCACUCGUCUGCUUCACCUUUGCAGACUGAAUAGUUCAGUUUGCAAUCAUAAAGAUUACAACCUGUGGCUUUAUGUUCUUUGUGUUGGUUUCAUCUUGGAAACGGAGGAAAUGGGAAGAAUAAUUAGAUGGGUUGAUGUUCAGUUCACUGAGGAUGAGAGACUAAAGGGCCAGAGUUGUUGAAAUUUAGAAAUAAAAGGCGCCUUUGUGUCCCUUCAAAAUAUCAGCUUAAGAAAUGUCUUUAUAAUGAGACAGUUCCACAAAGUGUAUUUUUUCUUACAUUUAUUGUGACUUCUUUAUUUUUGGGGCCUUUCAGACUGUCCUCUUGAUGUUGUUGUUCCUUUUAAAUCAGAUUCUCUCUCCUUUCUGCUCACCCCUGACUCUGCGCAACCCUCUCUCUCUCUCCCCUCUGUCCAAGAAGCACAUGUAUUCCUUGAAGGAUAUUGACUCUUACAAGUUAUAUUUUGCUAUGAGGGAAUUUUAUGUAAUUUAUUGCCAUGUCUUUAAGGGUGAUUUUAAAAUUUUGCUUAAGUGGCCAAAGGAGUUUCAUGGAGAUAUUUUGUUGCAAAUCACUCACGUAAAGUAAUAAAAGCCCGAUCUAGGGGUGCAGCAGUCCUCUGCUUUAGAAGGCCUGGGGCACCCAGGGUGCUGGAACCUGCCUAUUGGGAUAGGAGAGGUUAAUUAAAUUACCUUAUAUUUAGGGUUAAUUUGGUCCUAGUCUUGCCAGGUAAUAGACAACAAGCCCGGACUUGACUGGGAACACCAGCUUGGGCAUGAGCAGCUUCUCCCGGGUAUUUCUAUUGUCAGAUUAAUUGAGUUGACAUCUUGGUUGCAAUUAGUUACAAAUGUGGUUCCAAUAUUAUUUCAACAGGUGUCAGUUUAGGGGCUGUGGUCAGAAUCACACAACCUGUUAAAUGAAGAUGGGAGGGCUCAGUUCAGGUCAGCCGCUCAGGUGCCGAUGUGCCUGUGUCUUGUCAAGCUCUAGGAAGGGAAGGGAGGUUUGGAGAUGUUUCCAAAGAACCAUCACUUGCAAGAGAAUUCAAGACUCAACUAUGUUUAGAUGCCAAUUUGGCAUGCACUUUCACUGGGUCCAGCUUGGUGUAGAAAGUAUUUUGUUGGUAUACGAGUAAUGGGAAAUUCUUCCUGUAUUGGUAGCAACCACUUUUAAUUAUGGAUUACAAUUUGCAACACUAAUGCAAAUCUGAACCUUUCAGAAAGUAAAUUGUGAGAAGUCCUAAAUUGUGUGAAAUUAUAUUUCCCAGAAAUACUAUAGCCUCAAUCCAUACAGAUGUUUAGGAUGGUAAUUCCCUAGGUGAGGAAAGUGUUCAGAUGGCCCAGGUACUGUGAUUGCAUGGACUUGGACUCAAUAUUAUUUCCCACCUUCAUUCCCAAGCCCUGAGAAGCACUUCCACAUCGUUACUCAGAUGAGAAACACACUCAAGGCUUUCCUCCACUUGUUUUAGAUAAGAGCUCUACAGAAGGCACAACCUAAGGAAAAUCCUUUAUCAAGCCACUUCCUUGUGGACCUGGUUGGUACUCUGUCUACACUUUUUUGCCCACAGAAAGAGAUCUUUAGUGGAUCUUUGACAGUUGCCAAGCUUCAGCCACUCUGGAGGAUCACCCAGUGCUCUGGAAGAAUGUCUGCCAUUUAAAAAUAUCACCGAACCAAACAACACAACUUCUCGAUCUGUCAGAAAACCAACAAGUAGGCCUCUGCCCUUUGGAAAUUCAAUGUGAACUUAUUAUUAUCACAUACUGUUUGGUAUGGUUUCCACAUAUUAAUUAUCUAAUGAGUAAGUGCCUGAACAAAGACCCUAUUUCCUCCCUAUCAUCCAAAACUGGUGCCAGUUUUCUGAAUAUGUACAAAUAAAAGCAUGUUGUCUAUUACCUAAUGAUACUAGGACAGACUAAGAAUAAAGUACAGUGAGGUUGUUUAACUCUUCCUAUAUCACAGGUCAAGCAAAUCUAUGAUGCCAGUGGUUGAAAACCUUAGUAGAAAAAACAUCUUGAAUAAUCGACCAGACGUCCAGGAGACAGCUGGGCAUUCGAGAGCCUAUGAGGCACACAAACAACCUUAGAGCCAAGUUGCAUUCUCUGUUUGGCCUCAGAGCCAAAGUCUCGAGCACAUUCAGCCAGACUGCCGGCAGAAAAGAUAUGAAACUGGCAUUCUGUCUUAGGCCUAAGCAAGGUCUUGGAAGCCCCAGGUCCCUGACCAUGGCCUGCACAGAGCCACGCUUCAGCCCUGGGUCUCAGCAGGCAGCCAGGGGAGGCUGUGGUAAGUAAAUUACUGUCCAGCCCUUGCUCCCCAUGGAUGUGUCAGCCAUCAAAUCCACCAAUGAGCCAACAAUUAAGGUGGAACACCUGGUUUCACUAUAGCAUUACAUACCUGCCACAGGCACUUUGGACACAUAAAAUCACAUGUUGGAGGAUGGAAAACCAGCUGAUGUAUCUAUUCAUCAUAGCAAGAUAGGGAGGAGUCAGGACACAGACCCUAACAUUUGGAAGAGCUAAACUCAGGCCCAGGUUUUCAGAAACAAAAUGCCAUUAAACACGAAAGACUGAAGGGUGAUGGAGGCCCCAUUAGGGAAGAAUUCACAAAGCUUCAUUUCUGACAAUUACUUGGAGAGUGAAAUAUAAUGACCCCAUUUAUUCCAUCAGCAAAAGUUGUCACGGUCUUGCUACAAGAAGAAUGAGCCUCCAGACCCUUUGGAAAUUCAACGUGAACUUACCAUUUUCACAUUCUGUUUGGUAUAGUUUCCACAUGUUAAUUGUCCAAUAAGUAACUUCCUGAACAAAGAUUCUUUCCCUCCCAAGCAUUGAAGCUGGCGUCAGGCCUCUGAAUAUGUGCAAAUCAAACAAGACACAGGCUUGUUGUCUAUUACCUGAUAAACCUAGGAUUAAAUUAAUGUAAAAAAUAGUGAGUUUCUUCUCUUUUUAUCUCCUAGAUCAAAUAACUCUAUGAUGGAAAUAGGAUCAUCAUAGAGUGUGUUGGUAGAGAAAAAUCUUGAAGUAAUAAUGUAUGUCUUCCUAUAGGAUAUUAACGGCUAAUACCUUUGGAAUUAACAUCAUCUCAUAUGUAACAUGCAUAUUAUUUGUAUAUAAUUAACAAAUUUUGUUAUCAAUAUUGUAUCUAUGUGUAUACAGCAUACAGAGAUAAUGAAAUAUUAAUAUUGUGUUCUUAAAUAUUCUGAAGUCAGAUCUUUAUAACUAAAUUUUUCUGGCUUUUUGUUAUUUACAAAAUUUAUUUGUUUGGGUAAGAUUUUAAUUCCUUUUAAUUUAAUAUUCCAUCGUACACCACAGACUCCCUAGCCCGUUUGGAAUUAAUAAGAAAACAAAUGAGUAAGUGGGUGAGUGAAUGAAUGAACUGUUAGUUUCUCUCUUUAGAGUGCCAAGUCUCAAUCUUGAGGAGCCUUUUAUAGCUCAGCCCACACCCCAUGCAGGCCUCCUUCCACCUCCGCUUUCUAAGUGGGUCUGUAGACAUUUUCUAGGAGCAGAAUAUGGCUUAAAGAAAGCACUAUUUGAAAAGUAUUUAAUGAUAUUCCCUGAAGUUACUUGGCCAAAUACGACUGAAUCUUUAUAACACAGAGAAAACAAAAUUAUUUACUCAUUCAGUAUUUAUUAGUUUGGAAAUGGGGACACAGCACCUCGCACACAAAGAGCUGCUGUUUGCUUUACCCCGGUACCUGACUUGCGCGCCUUCAGAAGACUUGAGGAAGAGACUUACAGUUCCCAAGCUAAUGUUGACUCUUUGUAGCACAAUUCUUUACAUUUUAAGGAGCAAUUAAUUCUGAUAAUUGAUGUUAGUACAACAUGGACCUUAAAUGAUUUAUGAAAGAGUUUUCUGCCUCAAGACAGGCAUCUCUGAAAGUAACCUUGCCCAUUUCUGCCAUGCCCUGGGGAAUGCCAGGAAUGAAGGAAACCAGAAGGCUGGCGAAGACGGGACAGCACAUGCUAACCCCCAGCCACCUGGGCCUGGCUCAUCAUCUGGAGCUGGAAGUGCAGAUGCUAGGCAGGCUCGAGAUGGAGUUUCAGGUGCCGGGAUGAGAGUGAGACCAUGGAGCCUGAAAGGGGGGCUUCUGGCUGAGAGAGUCUACAGUCAUGUGGUUCUGUGGCUGCCCACGCCAAGAGAAUGUCCGCUUGUGCCAAAUACUGACCCUACUGGCCAUCACCGCACUGCUCCUUGGGAUUUUCAGUGCUUUAGGAUUUGCCUUGAAAAGGCAAAGACCCCUAGUACAGGUAAGCUUUGAGCUGUUACACUUUGUUUAUGAACUAAGACCUUAGUCCGAGUUCAUUGGACAUUCCUGAGGAUUAAGAAUGGCACGGUGGGGAGGGGAGGGGAGGCAGCAAUGAAAGGGAAACUGAUAGGGAAGGACAAGGGGCCUAGAACUGAUUGAACACCUACUAUUUGAUAGGCAUUGUGCCAGUCCCUUUAUAUAUUUGUGUUCCUAAGUUCCCAUAAGAACAUGGAAAGAUGGAUAUAAUUAUCCCCAUCUAUAGAAGAAGAAACUGAGGCUAAAGAGGUUGAGUAACUUGCUGUUGGCCACAUUUCUAGGAAGUGGCAGUGCUAGCAUUUCCAUAUAGCAUUGCCUGGCCCCAUGUGCACUCCUUCCAUGACACCACGAGGGCACUCCAAAGACAGACGCAUCUCAUGUCCCUGCCUGUGGUCUAGCCUCUCGCUUGGGGGAGCCAGGACUGGGAUUGUGGAGACCAUUGACUGGCUCCAAUGGAGUGUCCAGAGAGGGGCUGAGUGUUUCAUUUCCUCUCUCAGGUCCCCAUUCACCUCUCCAAAGUAACCUCCUGUAGUUUCAACAUCAGGAAGAAUAGUUUAAGUUUGCCAAGCAAGGACAGCCUCCAAGCUCUAAACUCGCCUUCUCACUAGACUGUCAACUCUCAGCCCCUCCUCAAUGGAAAACUUAGAGCCUCCUUCAAUUUACACAGUUUUAUGUUAAUGUCUCUUAGACUGAAUGCUCCCUGAAUGUAGGAAUUGUGUCUGCUCAACUUUGAGCUGCAUCUGGUUGACUACACGUGGUAUGUGACCUAUAAUAACUUCUCAAUAAAUAUCGGUGAAAUGAA
This is a long non-coding RNA of Sapajus apella (tufted capuchin), 6629 nucleotides long. RefSeq lists it as uncharacterized. The transcript has 2 exons. The record is from RefSeq and is a predicted model, not a curated record. Lineage: Eukaryota; Metazoa; Chordata; Mammalia; Primates; Cebidae.